UUUUAUAUAGGAUUGAAAGAAAAUUAACUCCUUUAUUAAAAACAAAUUUAUCUGUAUUUGUUUUGCCUAUUUUUCCCAGUUUUCCAGUUGUAGAUUCUGCUGCCAGAGAUUCAGCUCUGGUUCCGCUGAGGUGUGUAUUUAUGAGCUACUUGUUAGAAUCAGUGUCUAAAACCCAGCGAAUCUGGUAGAAAUAGCCUCACUUCCAAGGACAGGACCUGCGUGCUCCAGAGUAGGACCCGGUGGGUCACGUCCGAGGGCCCGGAAGCCGAGCUCAGGCCUUGCCCUCAGCCUGGGGCUCCCCACGUCGGACACAGAUGGACUUGCGCAGCGUGGACGCCGGGCUCCCGUCCGUGCAGAGGCACAGGGGCACCCCUGGGAGAGGGAAGGCAGAAGUUCCUGUGGGCGUGUCCUGAGGCCACACCGGAGCGGGGCCGGCGGCUGGAGUUCAGCACCACGGUCAGCACCCUCCAACUAAUGUCAACCUUGAG
This is a long non-coding RNA of Aethalodelphis obliquidens (Pacific white-sided dolphin), 488 nucleotides long. RefSeq lists it as uncharacterized. The record is from RefSeq and is a predicted model, not a curated record. NCBI's taxonomy places the organism in Eukaryota, Metazoa, Chordata, Mammalia, Artiodactyla, Delphinidae. The transcript is spliced from 3 exons.